CAAGCCCUUGGCUCUGCGAGGUUUGUAAUGUCUGUCCCUUCUCCCACACCUCCCCCUUUGUCUAGGGUUUUCAUUGCUGUGAAGAGACACCAUGACCACAGCAAGUAUUUUAAAAGAGAACAUUCAUUUGGGGCUGGGUUACAUGUUCAAAGGUUUAGUCCAUUAUCAUCAUGGUGAGAAACAUGACAGUGUGUAGGCAGCAAGGAGAGACCGUGUAUCAUAUUGGGUGUAGCUUGAGCAAAUAUGACUUCAAAACCUGCCCCAUAGUGACAGACUUCCUACAACAAGGCCACACCUUCUAAUGGUGCCACUCCCUAUGGCCAAGCAUCCAAACACAUGAGUUUAUGGGGGAGGGGGGGGACCUUUUCAAACCGCCACACCCUUCCAGUUUCCUUACUCUAUCUCUACACCAAGGUCUGUUUCAAUUAUCCUCUUUAUCAGGAGCAUAAAGAAGGCAGUUGUCAUAAUUGAACUGUGAUUAGGGUAAUAAAAGUAAUACAUUUAAAAUACAGAAGUAGCUGUGAAAAGUUGGAUAGGGAACGGAAUAAUCUAGAAACUGUAUUGAAUAUCCACAUUCCUGUGAAAACAACAGAGCUGCUGACUGACCUAUGGACCUAAGAAGAAUUCGGUAACCAGCAGGGUUUUUGUUAUUUUUUAGGAGAAAUAAUUUCUAGUUCGAGGUGGCAUGACUCCAAGUAAAUAGAAAAGAGGAAAACCCCAAAUAGUCUGCUUUAAUAUUUUAUCUUAUUUAUGUAUUAAUAUUAUUUUGUUUUAUAGUCAGACCUCUGAUAUCACAAUGGCUGAUAUAUUGUUUUGCUAAACUCGAGAGCUAAAUCCUUUUCUUUAAAAAGUAUUAUUCUGCCUUAUGUUAUAAAAACACUUGCCUGCAUUUAUGCCUAUACACCACACACGUGCCCAAUGCCCAGAGAGGUCAAAAUAGGGUGCAGAUGUCCAGGAACUAGAGCUAGAGAUGGUUGCAAACCACCAUCAGGGGCCUGGGAAUUGAACCCAGGUCCUUUGCAGGAACAGCUACGGUGUUCUUAACCACUGAGCCAUCUCUCCAGAUCCUCCAGCUAAAUUUUUAACAGCACCUAAGAUCAAAGGCCAUUAAUCUGGAAACUGAGGAAACAGAAAUCUUAUCACCCACCCUCCUUUUCCAGCUUUAUUUUAUUUGCCACUAAGAAGGAAGACAGUCUUUUACUGCUAACUUUAUCAUAUCUCUAGUUUCCCUCUACAUUUUAAUUUCCAAUUCAUAUCCUGAAAGUUUCUUGAGGCUUCAGAACUAUGUCAGAUACCCUUUCAGAAGCCUACCAUUGUGUCCUACCAUUGCACAGUACCUGUGGUGGUUUCUAUAUGCUUGGCCCUGGGAGUGGCAUUACUAGGAGGUGUGGCCUUGUUAGAGGAAGUGUGUUACUGUGGGCGUGGGCUUUAAGAUUCUCAUCCUAGCUGCCUAUAAUCCAUUCCUAGCAGCUUUCAGAUGAAGAUGUAGAACUCUCAGCUCCUCCUGAACCAUGCCUUCCUAGAUGCUGCCAUGCUCCCUCCUUGGUGAUAAUGGACUGAACCUCUGAACCUGAAACAUCCCAAAGGCCAGUUAGGAUACACUGGACAUUGGCUGAGAAGAGGAGUCGUUAUGCAAGAAAUUUAUUGAAGAAGACCUCUCCCGGAGUACCCAGAGGAGAAAGGGAAGUACAAGGUGCCUAUGGAGAUCAGAAGAGAACACCAGAUCCCCUGGAGCUGAAGUUACAGGCAGUUGUAAGAUGCUUAACUUCUUGCCUUACAGCAACCACCUCUCCUUGAUCUUCCUCAGGCUUUGUGACUGGAGGCCAUGUCCUCUGCCUCUUUCAUGGACAUAUGGAUGAAUGCCUGACCAUUUCACCUUCUAACAGUGAUGACCAAUGCAGGUCUGGGCUUGGGACAAGGAGAUCUGGGUAGGGGUGGGGAGAAAAGAUUGGUUGGACGUUUUAGCCUUCUGUUACUGUGACAAAAUGCCCAAGAAAGUCAAGUUAGUAAAAUAAAAGGUUAUUUUGGCUCAUGCUUUCGGUCCAUGAUUGCUUGGCACCUGUUACUUUAGGUCGGUGGUACAAGACAUCAUGGUAGCAGAAUGUGGCAGAGGCUGUUUCUACCUUAUGACAUUUGAGGUUCUAAUAUUCCAGUGACAUAACCUCUUUACAGUAGGCUCCCUCCUAAAGGCUCUACCACUCCUCAGUAGUCCUGCAGGUUGGGGACCAAGCCUUCCAUAUUUAGGCUGUUAGUGUAUAUCUCAGACCCUCUGGACAGGCUUAGGGACUGCAGUCUGCACUCUUUUUUUUUUUUAAAGAUUUAUUUAUUUAUUAUAUAUAAGUACACUGCAGCUGUCUUCAGACACACCAGAAGAGGGCAUCAGAUCUCAUUACAGAUGGUUGUGAGCCACCAUGUGGUUGCUGGGAAUGGAACUCAGGAGUUCUGGAAGAGCAGUCGGUGCUCUUAAACACUGAGCCAUCUCUCCAGCCCCUGCAGUCUGCACUCUUGACCUUGUUCUCUCCCAUAUCCCCAAACUUGUCUAUUACAAGGGAGAGCCUGUGUGUACCAUGCCCACUCCCAUGCUAGAACCACUGAGAAUCAGGUGCAGUGGGGAAGGGUUAGGGAGAAGUUGGAGACUACCCUGCAUCCUGGGAGGGGAGGAAGGGUUUUGAAGAAGAUAUAAAGAAGAUACUGGAAGGUUGGCAGGGGGGACAACCUAGGGAGCCUGAGAGAGAUGUAGAUCCUCAGAGAUCCUGGAGCCCUAGAGGAAAAGCCCUGGGCUGGAGAAUUAAUGAAGGUGGGAGGUUCCUGUGGUCCGGUGCCCUGGGGAGCUCUGCAGAAUGUUCACGGACCCCACAAGAACACUGGAGCUGCUGAUCAGGGAGGAAGGGGGGAGUCUAAAAAGAUUUAGGGGUCCCAAGAAAGAUUUUGGGAACCCUAGAAGAGAGAUGAUUGAGGAGUUGCAAGCCAAGACUAUGAUGUUAAUGACUACUAGGGAAAGGUCCCCCUAUUUUCCUCACCUUCACCAUCUCUGCUGGGGCCAGCCACUAAGACUCAGGCAUGUGAGCACAGGGAGAUGAAUUCUAGUCCUCUGAAAGAUCAGGAAGUGGGCGUAACUACUGAGCCAUCUCUCUAACCCAUGAAGUUGUGAUUUCUCUGAUUUUCGUAGAAGUUCAGCCAGAGAUCUUUCCCUUCCUCUUUGGGCUCUUUCUUACCCUGAACAAUUCUCUGUCCAGUAGCUAGCUGUCCUAAGAGGUCUCUUUAUUUAGCAAAUAGAAAGAGCUAUAGCAUGGAGUACAAUCAGAGCCUCUGCUUCCUUUCCUACAAGGCUGAGUGCUUGGAGGUCCAUUAGGAGAAGAGGACUGCUAGCAAAAAAAAGGUAAAUAAAUAAAAACAAAUUCAGGGAGAAAGGAGUUAUCAAAACAAAAGAUGUUAACUUCUCUCAGCCAAAAUGUGGGCAGCUCUGGCCUGGAAAGGCUUUCAGGAGUCAAACGGCUGGAGAAUUAAUGAAGGUGUCUUCAGCUAGUUUGUGGGACACCAGGAUUUCUAAGCAAGGCAGAGUUGACGGACAAGUCAGGGCAUCCUGGUAUGCUUGGUGGUUGAGUGGAACACAUAGAUGGGAGAUUGGAAAGAAGUCUGUAGAAACUGCCACCAUGUGCCUAAAGCUGGACUGGAGGCUGAGCGGAGUGUCAUGAACCCUGAAAAAAAUGAGGUGAAGUCAGAGUAGGGAAAGAGAGAACUAGCAGAACCCACUGGUGACAUCUGUCUGUCUGUCACAGUGUCCAGUCCACACGACCUUAAAAAUGUCAUGUGUUCUUUCUUGCAAAUCUCAUGUGAGUUCCUCUGCACACCAAUUCUUACUGAAAUUGUCCUGGGACAGGAAUCCUGGCAAGCGACGUCCCAGCUAUGGACAGGAACGGGCAUUAAGUUGACAAUUGUCAGAGACUGACUGACCCAUGACCAAAGACUACUGUUUUCCUCUGAGACCACCUGUAUCUUAUAAUUCCUGGGCCCGGUGCUAUAUUUUGGAGCCUAAAAAGAGACACAUUUUCACUGCCACCCAUUCCAACCCUCUACUCUCCAACCCUCAUCUUAACGUUCUAUUCCCUAGAGAUUCCCCAAAACUCUGCUGACCCCUCAGAAUGACUUUAGUCUGAGUGCACCAUCUAUGUUCUGGCUUGACCCAGACUGACAGUUGCUCAGCUGGCAACAAGUGGGAGACCACAGCAAAGCAAACUUAGCAUCUCGCAGCCAACAUCCAGCACCUGCAGAAGAGCGCCCCAACAUUCUGAAGAGACAUUCGCUCAAAACUAGGAAAAAAGAUAAAUAGUCUUUCGUCUUUAUGAUGAUUUUUUUUAAAGUGAACCUUGUUAUCUCUUUUAGGCAAAGCAAACUCAUUGUACUAUGAUCAAGAUAAAAGUAGUUAUUGGGAUAAUGUCAGUUACAUGUUUAUUGUUAUAUAUCAGUUAUAAAAAGUGUCACCACUCUUUGUGACAGCAGAGUCAAGACUUUAUCUGCUUCCUUGCCUACACAUUAAUGGUUUGUACUACAUUAAUCUUUCCUGAGUUCACAACACUUCAGGCAUAUUUUUGUGCAGUAGACGUGGAGUGGCCUUUUGGAAAUAUGGAUGGAUGUAUUUUGAAAGAAAUUUUACCUCCCUGUUUAACUAAGACUCAGGGCCGAAUAUUUUUCACUAAUGUUUUCAAAAGCAUUUUAUAGGAGAGUGAUUGGUCCUAAAAGAACCACCGCCUAGGUCAGAGACGGGGUGGGGGUGGGGGGGAAUAACAGGGACAAACCAAGCCUGUUUGACUGUUUGGUUGGAAUGUAGCUUAUUUGUUUAUGGACUGUUGUCGCCACUUUCUCAUUGUGGUGGCACAGUUGAAUGGUGUGCAGCAGAGGUCAUCGACCUACAAAGAUAGAACUAUUUAGCCCUGGAACCUUCAUUGGAAAAGGAUACUAAUUCCUGGUUUAAGUAAGAAAAUUUGGGAGCAGCUCUCUUCAUGAAGCUUUUCUUUUUCAAAAAGGAUUGCCCCGAGGUCCUGCCACAGGCUGACAAAAUAUGAAUAAAUGUCUUUUGAAAGUAUGAAAGGAGCUGUAUCUGAGGAAACUAGCUUCAGAAAGAGUCCUAGGAGCUGGGGCCUCUGAUUUAACUGUGUUCUUUAUUACACCGAUGGCCUUGUACAAAUUGCCUAAUCUACUGUUAAUUGUAAAACCCCUUGGGAGGACAUGUGGAGCACCCUAAUUUCUACCCCAAAGAAUCCAGAAGUUAGGGAUUCUGACAGUUAACUGUGACCAUCUUGGUAGGAUUUACAAUCACCAUGGACAGGCCAGCAGGAAGAGUCAGGAGGAAAAGGUUACUUGGUGGAGGGAGAGAACUGAAUCCUGCAAGUUGUCCUCUGGGUGUAUGUGCACCUACACACUCACAGACACAUAAUAAACAAAGUCACUAUGGAGACAGACUUCUGGGCAGGUCUAUGAGGGAUAAUUGCUUGAUUUGGCUAAUGGAGGUGGGAAGAGACAACCCGAAUGCCAGACUGAAUGAGGAGGAGGAAGCCAGCCGAGUAGCAUUUCUGUCUCCUGGCUUGUAAUGUGGCAGCCGCCAGGAGCUCUUGCUACCAUUCUUCCCUGCCAUGAUGGGCUGUAUCCCUAGACUUCGAGCCUCAAGUUGCUUUUGUCAGGCAUUUUUGUCUCAGCAACAAGGCAAGUAACGGGGAUUGUUAAACGUUGGAGCUGAAGAAAAGAAGACCCUGAUCUGUGAGAUUAAGAGAUUUAAAAAUACAUAACACAGCUGUAGAACUUAACAUUUACUAUUGUAUGAGUUAUGAAAUAAUUUCCUUACGGUUGUAAUACCAUUCCUUCAAAUACACAAAUCUUCUUCAAGGGACAUGUUGAGAGCAACACAGAAUGAGACAACCAACAACCAAUGAUACAGACUGCUAACUCUCUAUGCUAAGACCAGUUCUCCAGGCCCUGAGGAUGUUAGAGCCCCAGAGCAAUGAAGAACUCUACAGACACAUGGGCUCUCCAGAGGGUGCUUCCAACUACCUAACCACAAAGGUACACCAUGAACAUACAAACCUGCCGUGAUCUUCCCAUGUCCCUUGAUUGUCAAACCUGGAUCCAGAAAGAUCUAGACCUGGAACCCAGCCAAGAACCUCAGGAACAGACUAGGGUUUAGAGAAAUGAGUCUUACGUUCAAAACAAAUGAAAAGCACUGAUAAGUAAAGAAGUUAGGAAAUAGGUCUUAACUCUUCCCUGGUGCCUCUGAAGAGUUCAAAGUUCACCUGCUCACACUUGGUUCUCUGCUUAGACUAGAGUUCAGCACACAGAGUCUUAAUGAUUAAUCAGUGCCAGCACAGCCCUGGGGCCAAGAAGGGACUUUAUUUUCCUUUCACAGAUGAGGAAAGAGAGGAUUUGAGAAGUCAUCUUCUCUCCUUCAGAUGUCUUCUUGCUGAUUAAGAACACAUUUCAGGGUGACUGAUUCCUACUGUUUUCCUCCAAGUCAACCUGUAGACCUAAGGAUUUGGGCUCAGACUCAUUGGAUUUCAUCUCAUAAGCUGCAUGACCUCAUCAUUUGGGGGAAAUCUGUCUGUGUUUGUGCUUCCUUCUCUUUGAAAUGGUCAAAGUUCCUGCCUAUGCUCCUUUACGUGGGAACCGAAGCUCAAACGUGAUUAUAGAUACAACAUUGUGAUAUAAUGAGCUCAACAGAAUUUAUUUUCCUACGUAAAACCUACCCUAUUGAAAAAUAAAAGCAAAACUGCAACUGUAAUGGCAGCAACAUUCAAGAACUCAUUGCAGUAUCUUAAAAAGAAACAGUAAUCAUUUUAUUGGUUGCUUACAAGGUUUAGCUUUUCCCAGCUAAGUGCAAUCUAUACAGAACCAAGGCCCUAGAUCUAAAUUUAAUUUGUCCUAAAAAUGAAGGAACAUUUUUUUUUUUUGGUUCUUUUUUUUUUCCGGAGCUGGGGACCGAACCCAGGGCCUUGCGCUUCCUAGGUAAGCGCUCUACCACUGAGCUAAAUCCCCAGCCCCGGAACAUAUUUUUUUAAACUUGAAAUAUUUACUUAUUUACUUAUUUAUUUAUUUGCAUGUGUGGGUGCCCAUGUAGUGGACAGAGGACAACUUUGACAGUUGACUCUCACCCAUAGCGUUGGUCCUGGAAGUCUAACGACAGGUUCUCAGACCUGCUAGCACCUUUACCUCCUGAGCCAUCUUACUUGCCUAGAAUAUCUGAACAUUUUUUGAUGGUCUUGGUGACUUACAGUUUGUUUGUUUUAACUGUUAUGUAAAACCUGGGUAAAGGCGUUUUUUGUAAAUAUAUUUACUUGAUUGAUGAGAUACGGAACCAAAAUAAUUUUCCCAGUCACAUAGCUAGUAUCAUUUUUGAAGAGUAGGGUUUUCCCCCCACUAUUUUAGCAGUUGCUUAUUUAUGGAUACUCUAAGACAUAUAUAUAUAUAUAUAUAUAUGCAUAUAUAUAUGCUCUAAAUAAACAUAUAUAUUUAUUAAUACCAACUCCAAGAGAUGAAACUUUCCCUUGGUGUUAAGAAAUAACUUUUAGAAUCAUUGCAUACUUUAUGAUUUUAGAGGUUACAAAGAUGUAGUUUUCAGGAAGCUUAGGUCUAGGCUGUGGGAUUCUUACAAACGGUCUGGACCAGUGCAGACAGAUGCCUGACCGUAAGGCGUGGUGUAAUGACCCUGGCUUAGGACUAUUGAAUACAGCUCUUGUCAAACUGCAGUGUUUAUGAUGCCCUCCACUCUAAGCUUGAUUUGGGGUAAGAACAAAAAGUUCCUGUUACGUUGUUAAGUGAUCUGGGAGAUACUGUUGUACUAUGACUGGAUCCUUAGUCGUUUGAGAAAAAUUUACUUGAAGGGCACUGUGUUCCCAAGUUUUGGAUUCCCAUUUAAUCCUCAGUCAGCCCUGAGGUUCAGAGGCUUGUUGAGCUUUCGGUCUUUGUGGCUGUUAUUUUGGAACUGGUGUUGAGCUGAGAGCAAGAUUGUGACUAUAGAGAUAUCAGUUAUGGUCAGAGCCAUGCACUUUGACUAAGUUAUAAAGCGUGUGGGGCCGUUGUUUCCCUUUUACACCCACCUCUGUCCCUCCCUGAAGCUUCUACAAACCUGCUUUUAGAAAGCUUCCUUAUUUCUAAAAACACUUAAACUUCCCACUCAUCAGUAAUUAAAACAACUCAAAUAGACACAAAGGCCACCCGUGAGCCAACAGCUCACAGAAAUAAUGCACGCCUACUAAACACCAGGAAGCGUGGAGCCUCACUAGGUGUGGUUUUGUUUCCUGCUUCUACCUUCACGGUGUCUAGACACUGCUUUACUCCAGUGGGAGAAGGAUAAGGAGAAGUCCAGAAUACUUGGGUCAGCAGGAUCCUGGUCAGACACCAAAUGCAGAACAGGGGUGGAGGUGGAGGCCUUCUCAGGGAAAUUUAGUGUUACAGCUCUCUUAGAAAUCAUUCAAUGGGGGUUGGGGAUUUAGCUCAGUGGUAGAGCGCUUGCCUAGGAAGCGCAAGGCCCUGGGUUCAGUCCCCAGCUCCGAAAAAAAAGAACCAAAAAAAAAAAAAAAUCAUUCAAUGAAACAGCUCUCUCGAUGAGGUUUAAUGAAACAGCUUGUGAGCACACAUGUAUUCAGGGUGAAUCAAGGGCUCUAUAUGCACAAACCCUGGCGAGUGGGAAGGAGUUGUUCUUAGGAUGAAGUUGCAUUGGCUGAGGCUUAAGGAAGGUUCUGGGGGCAUUUGCAUGGAGAGACACUCCAGGAAGUUGAGUUUAGUAAUUUCACUAAGGACUAUGUAACAUUUCUCAGGUACAAGAUUGGGGGGUUGGGCUCCUCAGAUUAGGCUAAAAAUAGCAGAAGUCCCGCUAAGAAAAAGGAGUCCUGCAUUUUGCAUCAAGCUCAGAAAAGCUGUCCCAACAUGGUAGACUACAACCUUAGUAUUGAGGUGCAACGACUAGGAGGCAUUAAGACUUCAACUCAAAGAAGUCAUCACUUGAAAAGUGUUCUUGUUGAAUGGGCUUGGGGUGUAGCUCAAGGAUAGAGCGCUUUUCUAGCAUGCAAGAGGACCUAGGUUUGAUCCCCAAAACCACCACAUGGCUGACUGAGUGAAGGGAGGAAAUCAGUACUGAUCGAUGCCAUUGUGGGGUUGGGGACAGCACACAUGACAGUGUCAGACCUGAAAUUUGGGGACACACAUUAGUAACACCCAUCACCUCUCCAGAGUUUCUAAGUCAAUCUUCUUGGUGUUUCCAACUCGAUCACAUCUGUGACUGUCUUAGAAGUUUGUAUGGAUAAAGGUAUUUUACUACAAUGACUUACGAAACAAAAUCGGAAAACCUAAGAGUGAUGUUUAAAUGUUUAUCCGUAUAAUGUUCUCUGUGCCAUCAUAAAACGCUUAAGAGAAAUUCAUAAUGAUACAUAAGAUGUGAUUAGAGUCAGAGCAGGAAGUAGAACUUAUAUAUGAUGCUCAGGUUUAUAUUAAACAAAAAUAUAUAGAAAAAUAUCUUACUGUGUCUUCCGUAUUUACAAAAGCCAGUUUUUGCUGUUACUGUAAACAGGCAAUUGCUUGUCUGACUGCAUGUGCUAGACCCUGAGAAAUCUAUAAAUCUCCUCACUCACUCAUUGUUCUGUUUCUUUUUAACCUUUGCCAUGAAUGCUGCCAUUUACUUUUUAAAAACAGACUGUUAUAAACAGGUGACUUGGGCCAUCCUUUUGAAAAGAACUAUUUAAAAAAUGAAUUUUCUAAGAUAACAUUUUGAGAAGUUGAUACAUAAGCACCACAUCUACGUGACUUCUGCUCCUUGCUUCCCCCGACACUUUUGUGCCCCCAUCUCUCCCAAAUUCAUGAUCUCUUCUGUAGUUAUUUUUGUUAUACAUAUAUACAUGUACAUAGAACCUGCGGAGUCAGUCUAUUUAGGAAUCCUCAUAUACACAUGUGCCCAGGGCUGAACAGUUGUGAUUGGACAUCCAAUGCAGAAAUCAUCCCUGGAGAAAGCACAUAUCUCUCAGUUGACCACACGUAGCUUUUCGUCUAACAGUAAGACUACAUGAAAUUUCAUUUGUACACAUUGGCAUGUCUACUGGCAUUGUCAUGCCAGCCUUGGUUAGAUAACCAUACUAUUGAGAUUCCAUGGGGACAUUUUCCCGGUCAUGUCUAGGGGACACUAUCUAGCAGCAGCCAUCUUAAGUUUCUGGACUUCACAAGCAUUCUGUCCCAUCUUCUGCUGUGUUUCCCUGAGCCCUCAGGGUAGGGUUGCAUUGCAUGUAUGAGUUGGACUUGCUCCCCCACCCCAGUUAUUUAUUCUCCACCAUCUUGGCCAUUUAUACAUUUCUGUAACAGUCCCUAUCUGCUGCAGAUGGAGGCUUCUUUGAUGAGGGGUGACUGCUUCACUUAUCUGUGAGUAUAAAGAUAACUAUGUAAAAUAUAGUUAGAAAUUCUACUGGUUUAAGAACACGGCAAUAGGCUCUGCUCCCAGGUUGUGGUGGUUUGAACAUGCUUGGCCCAAGGAGUGGCAUAUUAGGGGGUAUGGCCUUGUUGGCGUAGAUGUGGCUUAGUUGGAGGAAGUGUGUCAUUCUGGGGAUGAGCAAUGAGAUCCUCCUCCUAACCAUGUGGGAGCUAGUCUUCUCCUGUCUGCCUUUGGAUGAAGAUGUAGAACUCUCAGCUUCUCUAGUCCCAUAUAUGCCUGGACAUCACCAUGCUCCUGUCUUGAUGAUAAUAGACUAAAUCUUUCAACCUGUAAGCCAGCCCCAACUAAAUGUUGUCCUUUAUAAGAGUUGUCUUGGUCAUGGUGUCUGUUCACAGCAGUAAAACCCUAACUGAGGCACAACUCUAUGACUUCAUCUACAAACACGUGGCUAAGUUUAUAGUAUCAUGCAUGGAUUUCCUAUUACUGCGUGGGCCUUUAAGACACAGCUGUUGAUUAAGCCUAAGAUCAAAGUACUACUGCUGUUCCACUGGGGAGAUCUUGCCGAUCCAGUAAUUGUUACGGUUCAUAGUUUUCACAGCUGGGCAGGACUACUUCUUCCUCUCCCUUGGCAGAUUACAUAGCAUCUUCUGCUCUGUGUGAAUCAGUCCUUAGUCAGGAGUUUCCCAGGACAAUUCCAGCUCAAUUCCUCCAAGUCCUGUUUCUAAGGGGUGUGGUGUCCUCAGCAGUGUUGUCUUACCUUCAAGUUUUGGAAGGCAACCAAGGGCAAUAAAACCUAUAUUGUUUUAGCAUGGUGGCUCUCAACCUUCCUAAUGGUACAAACCUUUAGUACAUUACGGUUCCUCAUGUUGUGGUGACCCCCCAACCACAAAAUUAUUUGCAUUGCUACCUCAUAACUGUAAUUUUGCUGCUGUUAUGGGUUGUAAUGUAGAUAUCUGGUCUUAGGAAACCCCUGUGAAAGGAUCAUUUGAUUCCCAAAGGGUUAAGAAGUACCAUUUUAGGACACUCUUGUGUUCUUCCGGCCUUCAACUAAAAGGAAGAUUUCUUAUGACCUUGGUAGUGGGAUUUUUGUCAGUGACUGGCUCUUAGAGGGAGCACCAAAACCCCCGUGUGUCAUGCAUGUAUGUGUGUAUGUAUAUAUGUAUGUAUGUAUGUAUGAAUGAAUGAAUGUAUAUGAAACAUGUCUGAAUAUGCACACACAUACAUGUAUGCAUGAAUGACUAUGGACAUGCAUAUAUUUAUUUUUUCAGUAAGCUUCUAAAAUAAUGUCUCCCUAUAGCUUUUAAGCAUCUUUAGUGUUAUUGAUUUCUUCCUUCUCCCUCUGUAGUGCCCUUCCCCACCCCUUUAAAGGUCUUCCUUUAUCCCCAUCACCCCUGCACUGUGCCUAUCCCCUACUAUAUAUACUAGGCUAUACUCUAGAUUUGCCUCACCCUCUUUCUUCAAGGUCCCCUUUUUCUGGCUUCCUUGGAUACUUCUAGUUUUUCACUCAAAUCCCAAGCCUGGAAGCGAGGAUCCACAAAGAGAAAACAUGCAGCCGUUGCGUUUCUGGGCCUGGCUUACCUCACUUACUACACUAUUCACCAGCUUCACUUGUUUACUUGCCAAUUGCAGUUUUCUCCACAGCUGCAUAGUAUUCAUUGUUUAUAUCUACCACAUUCUCACUAUCCAUUCACUAACUGAGAAGCAUUUAGGUUGUUUCCAUUUCAGAUAUAGUGAGGAGAGAGGUAGCAGUGAAGAUGGCCGAGCAUGUGUCUGUGGAAGGUGAUGUCAAGUCCUUUGGGCAGAUGCCAAGGAGUGACUGAGAUGGGUCACACGGUAGACUUGUAGAUCUACUUUUAAAUAUUUGGCAAUUCUGCAUGCCAAUGUCAAAGAGGCUGCACCAGUUUGCAACCCCACCAACACUGAAUGAGGGUCCUCUUUUUAAAAAAAAAAAAAAGAUUUAUUUAUUUAUUAUUUAUAAGUACACUGAAGCUGUCUUCAGACACACCAGCAGAGGGCAUCAGAUCCCAUUACAGAUGGUUGUGAGCCACCAUGUGGUUGCUGGGAUUUGAACUCAGGACCUCUGGAAGAGCAGUCAGUGCUCUUAACCACUGAGCCAUCUCUCCAGCCCAAAUGAGGGUUCUCUUAACCUGCAUCCUCAACAAUGUUUUUUUUUUUUUCUUGAUCUAAGCCAUUCUGACUAGGACAUUAUGAAAUCUGAGUAAUUUGUAUUUCUCUACUCUAGUGUGUAUUGCAGGAUUAAUCUAGUUCAAGUGUCCAAUCCAGUGAUGUCUCAUAACUUCACCGAGUCAGGUAAUCAUUUAGAACAGGUUUAGAACAUUUUAUCUUAUAUUUGAAAAGAUUUCCAUGGUCUGGUAGGGUGGCACAGCAGGUAAAGAUGCCAGCCGCCAUGCUUGAUACUGAGUUCAAUUCCCAGGACCCAUGUGGAAGAAGAAAAGAGUCAUUUCCCUAAAGCUGUCCCCUGACCUCUGUAUGUGCUAGGACACCACCCUUAAACAAAUAAAACAUAAUAAAAAAAUUAAAAAUAUUUUUGCAAGUAUGUAUUGCACGUUAAUCCAUGUCUUCCUGCCAUCCUUUUUCUCAUUCUUUUCCCCUUUUCAUUCCCGCUUCUAUUUUCAUUUUAUAUAAUACAUAGUUCAUGUAACUAUAUAAAAGUGAGACACAUGAUACUUUUCUCCUCACAACCAGCUUAAUUCUUUUAAUAUGAUUGUCCCCAGUUCCAUCCAUUCACCUGCAAAUGGCAUGACUGCAUUUUAUGGCAAAGAAGAGCCCAUUAUACAUAUUACUAUAUUAUAAGAUAGUAUAAUAGCAUUAUACGGUAGUAGUAUUAUACAUAGAUACUACAUUCUCCUUAUCCUAAUUAUGGGUUGGUUCCAUAAUUAGAUAUUGUAAAUACUGCUACAAUAAGCACGGGUGUGCAAGUAUGUCUGUGACACGUGGGCUUGGAGUCUUCUGAGCAAAUAUGAAGUUGUGGUAUAGGUUGGUCAUGUGGAAGAUCUAUUUUUAGACUUUUUUUUUGCAAAGGUUCUACAUUUUAUUACUGGACAAACCAUGCCUCCAAUUUGGACACGAGCAAGUCUCCAGGUUAAAAAUCUUAAACUCCGUCUGGUGGGCUGAUAGGUGACCAUAAUUCAGUUUAAACCCUCGGUCUUCCCAUUGUGUGAAUCCUUACAGGCCCAGCUUCAUUUUCCUACAGUGUCUUCCCUUGGAGUUGUACCAGAUUUUGUUACCAGUUUUCACCGGAAUCCAUUGAGAAGUAGGAUGGUUUCGCUUUUGUUUCUGGGCCAGGAAUUGCUAGAUUCUGAAAGUCUCAUGAGAAGACAUGGCAAGAAGCCAGACCAGGUAUAAGGCACUUGAUGGUAGAGAGAAGAAGAAACUAUUUUUAGAUUUUUUUUUAAAAAAGAAACCUUUAGCUGAUUUCCAUAUUGGCUAGACUUGUUUAUUCCCACCAGCAACACAUAUGAGUUCUCUUUAAUGCAUGGGUUUAUCAGCAUUUCUCUUUCAGGCAUCGUGGCUGGGAAUAAACGGAUUCAGAUGCCAAUGAGAUUGAAUGUGUGUGUGUGUGUGUGUGUGUGUGUGUGUGUGUGUGUGUGUGUGUGUGUGUGUGUGUGUGUUUAUUGGGUGAUGGUACUUCAUGUUUUGAGAACUGUCUGAUCCUUUUAUCAUCCCUUCUAUUGGGCUGCCUGAUAUAUAUCCUAGACAUUAUUCUUAUGUUAGAUGUCUAACAAUCAAAGAUUUUUCCCAGUUUUUUAGAUUGUCUCCCUACUCAUAUAAUCUCUUAAAUCUCAUCAAGUCCCAUUUGUCCAUUGUUGGCCUGGUUGAUUUGAGUCCUAUUAUGAAAGUUCUUGCCUAUGGUAUAUUGUGAAGUAUUUUUUUUUCUUUUUCCUGUAAAAAUUUGGGAGUUUCAGGUCUUAUGUCAAUUUCUUUGGUCCAUGUAGGGUUGACCUUAUGAAAUUAGAUUGAAGGAAUCUAGAAUCCAUUUUUUUUCCAGCAGCAGUCUUUUCUCUACAAUGUCCUUUCCUCCCCCGCCCUCUCUCUGUGUGCAUGAGUGCCAACUUUAUAAAAAGAGUGAGGUAGCUGUACGUGUGUGGUUUUACGCCAGUAUCUUUUGUUGUGUCUCACUGAUAAGCAUGUCUCUUCUUGUUACUAUUAUGCCUCUGUAAUAUAACAUAUGUAAUACCUUUAUCCUCCCCUUCCAAUGUCUUUUGUGCUUCCAAAUGAAUUUUAAUGUUUCUCUGUUUGUGUGAAGAAUAGCACUGUAAACUUGAUCGGCUUGUACUGAGCCUGUUGAUUGCUUUUUUGUAGGACAGCCAUUGUUACAACAUUAAUUCCUCCAAUCCAUAAGGAUAGGAUGUCUUCUCAUCAUCUAGUGUCUGCUUCAGUUUCUUCCAAGGGUUUAAGGUAUUUGUUAGAGGGAUCUUUCACUUCCUUGGUUAGACUUAUUAUAAGGCUUUCCCCCUUGGAAACUGUGAAUGAGAAGUUUUCUCCUGAUUUCUUUUUUGCUGUGUUUGUUAUCAGUAUAUAGAAAGGUUACUGGUAUGUGUAUGAUUGCUUUAAAUCCUGCCCCUUGGCUGAAAUUACUUAUCCCUUCUAAUUUUCCAGUGCAGUUGUCAAGGUCUUGUAUACAGAAUCACAUCCUUUGGAAACAGACGCUUUGGCUUCUUUCUUUCCUAUUUGUGUUUCUUAGCCUUUCUUCUCAUGUCCGUUGUUCUAGCUAAGAUGUCGGCCCUAUUGACUAGACUGUGGAAGAGGACUAACCUUCUCUUGUUCCUAGUUUUAGUGGAAAUGCUUUUGGCUUUUCUCCACUUUGUACAGUUAGCUACAUAUAGCCUUUAUUAUGCUCAUACAUAUUCCUCAACUCCCAGUUUCUUCAGGGCUUUUAUAAUGAAGAGAUGUUGGAUAUUGUUAAAAGCUUUAUCCGCAUCUAUUGAGAUUACUGUAGGCACUAUAAAUAGAGCUAUAAAUAGCCCUCUUAGGGCUGCUUUCAUCAUCUUCUGUAGGCUUUGCAUGCUGGGUCUUCAUUUUCAUCCAGUUCUAGAAAGUAUUUUAAUUUCCUUCUUGAUUUCUUCAGUGACCCAUUAAUCAUUCGCUAAUGUUCAGUCUCUCGGGUAUGCUGAUAUUCUAUAAUUUCUCUUGCUGUUGGUUUGUAGUUUUAUUCCAUUGUUGUCAGAACUUGAGAAAUCACUUCUCUUCCUAUGUUUACUAACACUUGUUCUAUGCCUUAAUGACUAACUUUAGAGAAAGCUCUAUGUGCUACAGAGAAGAAUGUGUAUUCUACAGUGUUUGCAUGUAACGUUCUCUAUAUGUCUGUUAGACUUACUUGAUCUAUGACAUCACUUAAUUCAAAUGCUUCGUUGUUGGGAUGACCAGUUAGUUGGUGAGUGUGGAGCGUUAACAUAAUCUACUAUUUCUGUGUUGGAGUUAAUCUGUAGCUUUACAUUUAAUAUUUUUUUAUGAAUUUGGGUGUGUCUGUAUUUGAUAUAUAUAUAUAUAUGUUUAGUAUUAUAAUGUUCUAUUGAUGAAUUUUUUCCUUCAUCAGCACGAGGUGACCUGGUUUAGAUCGUUUUUACUUCCUCAUAUCUAUUUACAGCUAUCUCUCAUUUCUACUCUUAAGCCUACACAGUCAACAAUUUAAUUUUCAGCUCUAAAUGUGCCCUUUCUAGAUAUUUCAUAUACAUGGAAUUAUAUAGCUUAUGUCCAAUGAUCUCUUGCCUAUGACUCUUUUUUGCAUUUUAUAGCACUUGUUGGUAGAUAAUUCCUUUUCAUUGCUUAAAAAAAAGUCUUCUAAUCUGAGAAUACACCAGCUUUUGUCUUUCCCUACAUGAGAUAAUUGGCAUUUAAAUUAUUUACAGUUUGGGACUAUGAAUAGACACCAAUUUUUGAAAUGAAGAAACUGACUUUAGGAGAGGGUGACUGUAACAGCAGUUGCUGCACAAGCCUUAGAAUCUGAGUGUGGAUCCCAGCAUCCACCUAAAAAGCUGGGUUGGCUGUGGGCAUUGUUGUAAUCCAGCACUGUGCUGGGCAGGGAGAGGAGGCUCUUUCUGGCUUGCUGGCUGCCAGCCAUGUAUUCUCAGGUUCAGUGAGACUGACUCAGAGGAAUAAGCUGAGGGUGAUAGAACUGAACACCUACUCUGGCUUAUGAACAUAUACACAUGUGUGCAUGUACUUCAUACACAUACAGAGGGGAGGGGGAGAGAAGGGGAAAGGAGGAGGGGAGAGGAGAGGAGAGGAGAGGAAGAAAUUGACUAGCUGGCUCAGCUAUUCUCCACAGAUUACAUACUACCCAACAUCAGAGCCAGGGCUUGGAUCCAGGUCACUCUUCUCUAAGGCCCAGACACUGUUUUCUUUCUCAAUGUGUUUGUUAUCAACAUAUAGAAAGGUCACUGAUAUUCGUAUGCCCCGAGUCUGUGGAUCCUUUUGCAGAAUAUCUAACUUUAACUAUUCUAACUUUGUUGGGUUCAUUUAUUCAUUUUUAUCUUAGUAACUUUUUUUUACUAUGAUAAGACACCAUGACCAAGGCAACUAACGAAAGAGAUCAUUUGGGGCUUAUAGUUACAGAGGGUGAGAAUCCCCAGCCAUCACAGCAGGGAUCAUGGUAGCAGGUAAGCAGGCAUGGUGCUGGAGCAGUAGCCGAGAGCUCCUAUCUUGAUCCAAAAGCAAGGCAGAUAGAGGUAAAUGGGAAUGCUGUGGGCUUUUGAAACAUCAAAACCCUAUGGCAGUGACACAUGUUCUCCAACAAGGCCACACCUCUUGGUCCUUCCCAAAGAGUCCCAAGAACUGAGACCAAGUUUUCAAAUACAUGAGCCUAUAGGAGAGCCAUUCUCAUUCAAACCACCACAGAUUUAUUAGAUUUUUUGAAAAUAUGUAUAGACUAUUUAUAACUAUAGUUACACUAUUGAGCCAUUUGUGAAUAGAUACUUUUUUUUCCAACUUCAAUGCCUUUGAUUAUUUUUCUUGUGACUCUGAUUAGAACUUCCAGAGUGAUCGUGAAGAGAAGUGUUAAGGAGAGGCAUCCUUGCCUUAUCCCAGAUCUCAGCCAGAGUUCUGUCUUUCACCAUCGAGUGGGAUGUUUGCUGUAGGUUUUCACAUGUGCCUUUUACUUUGUUGAAAUAGUUUUCUUAGUCAUAGUUUGCUGUGUGUUCUCAGCUACGAAAGGGGGUUUAAUUUUGUCAAAUUCUCUUCUUCGUCUCUAUAUUGUUACUGUCCCAUGUUGCAUUGUUAAAGUUUUGUAUUUUGAGUGAGCCUUACAUUUGAGAAAUAAAAUCCGCCAGUGUAUGCAUCCUUCAAUAUGCAGCUGAUAUUGUUUUGCUAAUGUUUUGUCAAUUGUUUUUUGCAUUAUUGUUCAUAUGGCCCACUGGUCGGUAGUUUUCUUUUUUGCUGUCCCUUUGUCAGGCAUUGGUCUCUGUGUAACACUAGUAUGGUGGCUUGAAUGAGAAUGGCUCUCCGGGCUUAUAUAUUUAAAUACUUGGCUGCAGUUGAUGGGACUCCUUAAGAAGGACUAGGAGGUGUGGCUUUUUGGAGAACAUGUGUCACUGGGAAAGGGUUUGAGGUUUCAAAAACACAUACCAGUCCCAUUAAUCCUGUCUUCCUUGCUUGUGGAUCAAGAUGUGAGUUCUCAGUUCCUAAAUCUGAGAAUCCUGUCUGCCUAUUGCCAUGUUCUUCUGCUGUGAUGGUCAUGGACUCUCAUCCUCUGUAACUGUAAGCCCCAAAUUAAACUUUUCUUUUAUAAAUUGCAUUGGUCAUGGUGUCUUACCAUCUCAACAACAAAAAAAAAUAAUUAAGACAACUAAACUCAUAGAAUGAGUGAGAAAGUGUUCUUUGCUUGCUAUUAGCUUUCUAAUUAUCGAGUAGAAAAAUAUCAGUAAUCCCAUAAGCUCUGGUGCUUUCUUUGUUGAGAGAUGAAUUUAUUACUCACUCAUUAUGCUUACUAGCUAUAGGUGUACUUAAACUUUCCAUUUUGUAAACUUAGUUUUGGGGAAUUUCAUACGUGAAUAUAAUUUUUUUUCAUCAAAAUCAUCUCUACUUCCUCCCUCCAACUGUUCUCACCACCCUUUGCCUCUGCUUCUUCCUACCAAUGUCUUGAACUCUCUUUCAAUAUUGGUGUUUGAGUAUUUUGUGUUUUGAAACCGGUUCUUUCUAAGUAGUUCUAAGCCUAGGACUAUGUAGGCCCAGGCCUCUAUGUAGGCCUAGGACUUGCUGUGUAGACUAAGCUGGUCUCAGACUCAGAGGUAUGCCUGCCCCUACCUCCUGAGGGCUGAGAUUAAAGAUGUGCCGCACUGUGUCUGGCCCAUGCACUCUCUUAAAUCCCACUGAGAACGUGUAGUGUUUUCAGUAUGUGCAUGGAUGAAGGACUAUGCCCUGGUACAUGGACAGUCUAUCGGGGACCACAUCUAAACAAACUAAUCCUGCCUCCCCCAGCAUUCACCAACAGCUCCUCAGCCAUUGGUAAGACUUCAUGAGGUCCUACCCCAACUGUGAUAAAAUUUCAUGCAGUUUGAUCCCGUUUACGUCCUGCAUGUGCAUGUAGUCACAGCUGCUGUGAGUUAUACACAUAACAUCUCUAUCAUGUCAGAAAAGACCAUUUCAUAGCGGUCCUCCACUAACUCUCAGUCUCACAAUCUUUCCAGCCCCUUUUCUAUGAUGAUCCUUGACCCUUAGAGGAAGGAAGUGGGAUAUAGAUGUCCUUCUUAAGGGUAACCACCUCGUAGUCUUUUAUUCUCUGUGCUUCGACUAGGCUUCUGUAUUGUUAGCCUCUACUUCUAAAUGAAGGUUCUCUAAUGAAGGCCGAGAGCUGCACUCAUCUAUGUGUAUAAAGGUAAGUGUUUGGGGAGCAGUGCAACACAAUGUCUGUUCAGCAGAAUAAUAGUAGUUGGUGCCCCCUUAGAGCCUAUGGCCCACUCAGUACUGUAAACAGUACUCUUAAAGUUAUUGUAAGUUCCAUAGCCUCAGCAGAAAAAUCUGUUCCCUUUCUGAUUUUGGUAGUUUGAGUUUCUCCAUUUUUCAGUGUAUGUGAAUAUCUACUAAUGUUAUUAAUAUUAAAAAGGCAAAUUUUAGAUUCGAUGAUCUUUCCUUAUUCUUUUUCUAUCAUCUAGCCAGGUAACCUCCUCCAGCAGCUUCACACAUCCUAAUUCUGAUGAUCUUUUCCCAUUUCAGUCAUUUUUGUACACUUCGUCAUUUUGUUUCAAUCUAGGUAUCUUUUUACUAUUACUUGUUUUUUUGUUUUAUUUGUUGGUUUUGCAAAAUGAUUGUGCACUUCAUGUUUCAGUGAUCAGCCUGGUAUAUAAAUCUAAGAUCCAUGGUCACUUUCUAAUUUUCCCCAGAUAUGCAAUAAUCUUUAAAAUGUUCUCAUUUUAAAAAAUAUUUUUCAUUAGUUCUUUGAGGAUUUUACACAAUGUGUUUUGAUCAUAUACAUUCUCUCCUCUAACCCCUCCCAGAUAUUUUCCCACCUCCCUACCUCCCCAACUCUUUGUCUCUCACUUUAAAACAAAGUUAAGCCCGGUUUAGUUGCCCAACUCCUCCUGUGAGUGGGGCCUGCCGCAGAGUAUGGUCACUGUAGUGCCACACCACUGACGAAAACUGACUUUCCCUCUCCCAGAAGUAAUCAAAUGCCAAUAAGUCCUCUGCUCAGGGUGAGACAUUGUCUUCCCUCACCCCUUCCACGCACAGAGUUUUUAUCUGGCUUGAGCUCGCUCAGGUCCUGUACAUCCAGUUACAACCAUGAGUUCAUAUGUACAACGGCCCUGCUGUGUUUGGAAACACUAUCUCCUUGAAGGGAUUCCCAGCCUCUGGCUCUUGCAAUCUUUCUGCCUCCUCUUGUGCAUAGUUUCUGAGCAUUGAGGGGAGACAUGUGAUACAGACAUGCCAAAGGGCUGAAUAGCCUGUAGUCUCUUAUUCCCUGAAUGCUGGCCAGUUGUAGGUCUCUACUAACUAUUGCAAAAGGAAGAGUCUCUAAUGAGGGCUGAGUGGCCGCUGUACUAUGGACAUAGCAAUAAGUCAUUAGGAGUCAUUAGUUGGUAUGUCCAUUUAGCAGAAUAAUAGUAGCAGAUUGUCCCCUAAGGCCUAUGAACUAUCCAGCCACAUACUCCAGAUCUCCUAAAAAUACUCCUUGGUUUUCUUUUAAGGAGAGAGAGGGAGGGAGAGAGAGAGAGAGAGAGAACACUAGAUCUCAAAGUGUGUGUCAUGGAAAUCACUUCAAUUGGAAAGGAAAAGUCUUGCAACAGGAUGGGAAGACAGAAGUGUUCACCCACUUUUUUAUCUGCACCCCUGUAUGGAGAGGCAAUAUCAGUGACCAGAGCAUACAUCUUCCAUCUUUAGGAGGAAAUAUCCAGAAGAGCCCUUUCACUCAUACUGGCCUCAGCAAAGCUAAGUUAACGCUGCUACAGGAGUGUGCCGUGCUCCAGGCAUGGCUGCCAUGGCCUGAACUUCCUGGGCAACACUGGCACUAGCAGUUCAGGCCUUCCACAGACUCCUGGUUCCAAAAUGUAAGGUCCGCUGUAUAGGUGUCUGGAUGGAGACACCCUCCCAAGGGCUUCCUAGUCUGCCUUUAUCCCCCAUUCUCUCUGUCUUGGUGUGACAAAAAUGCACUUAGUGAAAUUUGAAAAUCUAGGUCACUCGCCUGAUCCCAGGGUUGCUCCCACCUCUAGGUAUUUCCAGUUAUUGAGCCGUCUCUUUUCCCGUUAAAUUGGAGCUGAUCUAAGACCAGACUUAGUUACAAAAGAUCUUGUAACCUAUUUUUCUAUUCAACAUGGUGAAUACAGGAAUGCUGUCUCAAGCAGGAAGGGUACCAUUCUUAGAAGUUGAGUACAUUUGAUGAUGACUGUUCUCUGACUUGGAUCCAUAGAGAUCAUGAAAUUCAAAUUUACAGACACAUCAACUCCUUCAACUAGAUCUCAAGUAGAAUAGUCUCUGUGUUUCUCUAUCUGUCCCCUUAUCUCUAUGUAACUUAUAUAAUAUAUAAUAUGUAAUGUGUAAUAUAUAUAAUCACAUAUAAAUGGUUUUGAAGAGAUUUUUCUGAUAUGUUCCUUUCUAAUUUACUGUUCUUAUGUGCAACAAAGGAGAACCAACUAUUUGAGGCUAUUGAAUGGUGAGAUGUGUGCUAACAGGGUCACCACAGAUAAUCUAAGAGCCUUAUUUAGAAAAAAAAAAUCACACUGAAAACAAUAAAAGUGAAUGAAGGUGGACUUUUAAGGUCCUCUUUCAGGCCAGCAAAAUGGCUCAGUGGGUAAAGACAGCACCAGGCCUGAUGACCUAAAUUCAAUACCCGGGCCCCAUGUGCCAUGUGGUGGAGAGAACCAAGUCGUCCAAGUUGUCACCAUGUCGCAUGUGUGUGUACAUAGAAGACAAAUGUAAUUAAGAUGUUAAGAUGUCUAUCUCUAAAACUUUUCUUUGUUGUCUUAUUUAUGGAUCCCUUGUCAUCAGUACUUGGUCUGCACAUCCUCAGCUCUUCCUUGUCUUCCAAAGAUUUUCCUCUUCUUUAGCUAAUUGAGCUUUCAUUUUCUCUCCUCAGCUCAGGGUUUUUCUUGCAGAAAAAAAAAGCCAUGAUGUUUAGAGAAUUGAAACAUUUGUAGGCUUACUGUGGACCAUCUCUUACUGCCGAUGUGCAAUUUGUGGGUUAGAGACACGAUGGUGGUGGUGAUGAUGAUGAAGACUACGACGAUGACAAUGACAAUGACAAUGACGAUGAUAAACAAAAAGCCCGCUUAAUGGAGUCUUGAGAAGCCUGUUCCAAUUCAUACACGAAACCCAGGUGAGAGAGGCUUCCUAGCAGGCUGGCUUCUGGGAGCUCGGCAGAUGGACUAAAGAGGAGAAGGUUCUAGCUAGUAUGGGAAGAUUGCUCUUAUGUGGAGUGGUGAGGUUUUGAAGAGAUUUUUCUGGUAUUUCACUUCCUGGUUUGCUGAUGUGGUAUUCAGGGAAGCUGCCAAGUAUUUGGGGUUAUCUGGCAUGGGGGAGAUAUGUCCUAACAGAGUUCCCAUGAUGCCUUAUGUAUUAGGUUAAGCAAACAGAUGUUAUCAGAGGUGUGUAACUUGGUUUUCUCACUUACCAAACCUGUAAGAACCUGAUCAUUUAAAAAAAAAAAGAAAGAAAGAAAAGAAAGAACAAAAAAACAUUAAGUCCCCUGGACAGUAUCUACAGGGCUCAUCAAAGCAACGUAUUUUCUUCUCAAGUGAAAAUGCCAUGGGUUUGUUUGUUUCACUCUAAGAGUGAGGGUUUCAAUGUCAACCCUAUAAUGAUAUGGAGCAACUAGCCAUCUUGAAGAAGCUAUUUGAAAUUUAAUUUUCUCCCCCUAAAAUAUGUAUCUGGGAAAGGGUUACACUCUAAGAUUUUGAGGAAUGUGUGCAACUCAAUCUCUAAACGAUCCGGCCGACUUUAAUGCUGUUUGCAGCGAGCGAGAUUGCCAUCUUCCCCUUGUCUGGGUUAACAUUAAUUCAGGAAUACCCAAGGCUCCUAGCCAUAGGAAUGCCCUUGGUGCCAAGGAGUUCAACACAGCCUGGGCCUGGCACACUAUUCCCCAGGCAGAACUGUUGACCAAUUCAGCUACUGUUGGCAUGUAGUUUGCCAAGUACUAGAUAGGACAUAAUUAUGAGUGUUAUAGUCCCCCACCUCUAAAGACAUAUACAAUACAUACAAACCCACAAAAUCAUCCAGCUAGAUUCAUUUUACAAGACUUGUGCUUCCCAGUGUCUACAUUUCAGAGCUCUGGCACCUGACAGAAAAUGAUUUUGUAUUCAUAGAAUCUUUACAUAUCAUGUAUCUUAUGCCUACUUUCAAGGUCUCACUUAUUUACAUAAAGAUAUAAGUAUAUAGCAUAGGGAAUAAACACAUGCAAGUUCCUUAAAGCUGUCCCUUCAAAGUUAAAAGCUACAUGAUAUUUUAAAAGAUAUAGAUACAAGACUUGGGUUAUUGCAUGUACAAUAAUUGUGCAUUGAUUUUUUGAAGUCACCAUGGUGGAAGAACCGGAAGUCCACUGAUCGAUCUGAUAGGCUGAAUGACUUAUUUCCAUGACUUUGGAGCAAUUACUACCACCUAUGACAAGUCUCGGUGUGCCCUGAUUUUCAUGGACCCUCUAAGCAGGCAAACCCUUCCGCCUUCUGGAAUUUUAAAGUAGCCGAGCCAUCAGUCACCCAGCUGCCUCUCAGUCUUAGCAUUGGCAGUUCUUGUCUGCACGACUUCUGCUUUUCAGACCAGUUCUUUUCUAACAGAUAAAGUAUCUCUUGAUGGCGAAUCUAUAUCUUAGAAAGAGAGGUUCUUUUCCCUGUCCUGUAUGGACAGGCAACAACUAUAUGGCCUGAGGGAAAGUUUUGAUCGGCAAGGUUGGUGCUCUUAAAUUCAAACCCAUCAUUUGCGGAUACUGCUAAUAUUCUACGUACGCAAUCCAACAGCACUGUUUUAUUUUCUGCCUGGUCUUCUGAUGCAUUUGAUUUCUCCGUCACAGCUUUGUGUUAAGUAAAAGCCUACCUCAUCAACUCAGUUGGUCUGCCAGCAGCUCAUGUCUGCCCAAGUAACAGUCAGUCAGUUUAAUACUCCCUAAGGGCUACCCCAAGGUCUCUGGGCCAUUCUUUUGUAGGGAGACAGAAACUGCCUUUCUUGAUUUUCUUUUCACCCUGGCUCUCUUGACGUCUCUGAGUCUAAAUGGUGAGUGUUACUUUGUGGUGCUUUCAUUGGUAAGUCUAGCAUUUCCUCUCCCUUGAAUCUUGACCCUUUUUCUGAGAGUUUAUUUCUCUAGGACCCUGAAUCCUUCCUAGAGACAAGAGUGUGUUUAAAACCCCGAACAAAAGAGAUAGCACGCUUACCUCAGACCAAGAUGGGAGGGAGGUGAUCCAGUGAGCAGAGGCUGCCCCAGAUACAGCCACAUGUUUCUCAGGACAUCACACCUGCCUCAUGUCAGCCUGUUCAUUGCAACUGGGACACCUCCGAUGUUACUCUUAACAACACUAGACCUACUACCAUCUUCUGCUAUGGCAAAGCAGAAGCCACCUAAGCUCUGUCCUUUUGGGUCUUUAUAUUUUUUUCUCUUGCAACCAAAGGGUACCAGGUCAGGGUCUAACUGCUAGAUCCACUUAGUACCAAAUGUUCUCCUCUGUCUUCCAGUUAAAUCCUCCCUGCCCCGGUAUGUCAUCCCACUUGGGUGGUGGCCACCACAAUGGUUUCAACGUAGAAUAGAUGCAGGGGAAGCUUGUUGCUUUAGGGAAUCCAGUUACUCUCUCAGUUCUAAAAUAAAACCCAGCGGAUGUUUGUCAGGGACUCGGCACUUAACUCUUCAAAGGGAGGAAGGAAGCUUAAGUGUUAUUUACAUACCUGUAGCUGGCACAGGCAGAAAUUUAGGCUUUUGGGAUAAGCAGUAGUCUAGGGGAAUUCUGAGGGAGAGACAAUCAAGGAAAUUGCAGCCCUUUGGGCUCCAACAGAAGCAUCAAUUAGAGGAGGUUGAGAAGAAGAGAAUGCCUAUUGUCCAGGCAAGGGUUGGGGGAACUUCCUAAGUAAUUUAGACCAGAGCAAGGUUGUAUUUGGAGGUGCGUUGAAUUCUUUCAAGGAUUAAGAUACGGUGGGUGCUGCCAAAUAUGUUAUUACUAAGGAUAUUGUAAUUUUUCACCUAUUCAAAAUGCUCUGUGUGAGAAUUUAAAAAUGUGAGAAUUUAGUGUAGAGAGUGUUUGAAAAAAGAUCACUGAGUUCUUUCUGUGAUGAUCUGAAACUAUUGCUGCUGUCUAAAUGGAAUUGUCUGGACUCUCAAAACUGGAUUCUGGCUGCGUUAGAGAAUUUGUGCCUGAUAAUAGUGUGUGUGUGUGUGUGUGUGUCUGUGGGCUUUUCACCUCCUACUAUGAGUUUUAAAUCUGUAUUUCAAAAUCAGAAAAAGGAAACCCAAUCCUGAGGGUCCCCUUCCUGGCAUAUAUUUCUGCUGCAGGCAGAUUGAGAGCAUUAAAACAGACUUUUCACAAAUGAAGAGACAUGGAGCGUUUCAGCCCAUGACAGGACACUUCAUCUGUUGCCUAGGCAACUGCAGAUUUCUGGCUCUUGGGCUGGCUGCCUGAGGAGUGUCUCAGAGCCCCAACCUUGUCUGCUGUCAGUCACUGUCAGACGGAGCACAAAGACACUGGUAGUGAAUUCACAGUCUCUUAGCUUUCCACAAACAAUGAGACAAGCCAUGAAUUAUCCAGCAAAACCAAGCAGGGACUCUGAGGACUGAGUAUACAUACAGUACCUGCUCUGGUUUGUAUGUAUUUAUCUCCUCCAAACAAUUUGUGUUGGCAGCUUAAUCCACGGGACAGUAGCUUUUUGGGAAGGUAGCCCUUUGGGAGGUGUUUAGGUUCUGAGCACUUUGCCCUCAUGAACAGAUUUAAGGGGCUCUUCGUUCGUCUUUUCUCCUAUGUAAGGACAGUUUUCCUCUCUUCUGGAGGAUACAGCUAUAAGGUACCAUAUUGGAACCAGAGAUGAAAUAGUCUACCAGUGACUUCAACUUAGACAUCCCAGUCUCCACGAACUGUGAAAGAACUCUGACCUUUAUAAAUUACCCACGCAUUCACAUUCUGUGCUAGAAAACAUACAACAGACUAAGUCAUAAUCAGCCAUGAGUUUGAACGUACACAACAGAAUUUCAUCAAAAAUGUAAAUGGUAUAUACCUAGCCUAAAUAGGUCUAAAAAUUAUGGGCAGAUGACCCAACAAUCAAACUCAUAUGUUACCAAACGAACCGAUAAUAUAUGUACCUUAUGAAGUUUUGCACACAAAAGUUUACGAUAGCCUUUACCAAAAAUGUUCCUCAGUAGAUGGAUGGAUAGACUGUGAUGCAUCCAGACAAUGUCGGCAAAGGAGCUGUCUGGGAGAGAACUCUCUCAGAAGAGUACUUGCCUAGAAUGCAGAACGUCCUGGCUUCAAUCCCCACCUCCACAUAAAACCCAUUGUGCAUGUAAUCUCAGCAUUUAUAGACGGAGGUGAAAGGAUCCCAAAUUCAAUGGCAUCCUUGAACACUGAGCUUAAGCAAACCUAGUAUCCAGGAGACCUUGUCUCUGGGGGGGGGGGGGGGGGGAGCACUACGAAGCAUAAAAUGUUAUGAAAUCUCAAGCGUGCAUUACAAGCACUACAAGAUAGAAGUCGUCUGAAAAGCUGUGAUCUACGCGAUCUCAACUUUCUGAUGUGCCGGAAAAAGUCCGGCUGUGAGGACGGACCACAAACUAUUCAGUGGUGGCCAGAAUAGGAGCAAAAGGUAAAUAGAUAAAGCCCAGAAGAUUUUAGGGCAGCCAAAUGAUUCUCAUCAUAUUAUAAUGGUGGAUAUAGUCCAUUAGACAUCUGUUCAAAGCCCAGAGAAUGUACACCACGGAGACUGGUCUCUGUCAUAAACUGUGGGCUUUUCAUGACAGUGAUUUGCCAGUGACAGGUCACUGAUUUUAGGCAAUGGACUCCAGCGUAGGAUGCUAACCAUAGGGGAGGCGGAGUGUGUGUGAAGAAAGGGUUUGUGCGUGACUCGGUAGUCUCUGCUUGGUUUUGAUUUGAAUCUAGAACUGGGAAAUAAAGUGUAUUUUAAAAUCGUGAGCAGGAAACUCAAGCCAAUACUAUGUAAAGAUAACUAAUUGAACGAUGUUACAAUGGUGGCUUCGUGUCACUCACUGCACAUUUGUCUAGCCCCAUGGGAUCUACGACACCACCAAUGACUGGACUUAUGCUAGCAUAUCAUUCGCAAUAAACAGACUUUUAUGGGAUGUUGAUAGUAGAGGAGACGUGGAAAGUUAUGCAGACAUGUUUUGGAGCUCAGAUCUGAGGUGAAUCUCAAGCUCCUCCGAAAGCAUAAUUUCUUCAAGUUUAUUUUCUUUUUAUUGAUGUAUUUGUCUGUCUGUCUGUCUGUGUGUAUGUAUGUAUGCAUGCAUGCAUGUGUACAUGUGUAUGGGUGCCUCUAGAGGCCAGGAGUCAGAACCCCCAGAGCUGGAGAUAGAGCAAGUCGUAAGCCACCUAAUGUGUGUGCUGAGAACUGAGACCUGUCACCCUGCAAGCACUUUCAACAGCUGGAGUCAGGUCUUCAGCCCCACCCAAGCCUAACUGUUAAAAAAAUAAAAUCGUUCAGGCUUUGUAAAGGGAGACAGGCCAGUUCAAAGGGCUUUACACAAGACUACUUGGGAAAGUUGCAUUACUCUGUGGUACAGUGAGCAAAGAAACGGAGUGGCUAUAAAUGACUCCAAGUGCAUUUCUAAUGCCGAUAAGGGCCUCCAACUGCCUGCCUGGGUGAGAAAAUAAUUUGGUUUGCUCUAGCUGGGAUGCUGGUAAUGCUGGAGCUGACUGUGUUUCUUGUUUGCAUUUGGAAAUGAAAUGUGGAAACACGCUGAGAUUUGUAAAGGUUACAGAAGAGAGAAUAUGGCCUGAAGAAAGGUGAUGUUUUGUAUAACGAUCUAAUUAAUGCAUAUAUCUCUCCAUCUCGGGCCCCCUGCCUUGGGGCAGGAAACCUUAACCUCCCCCAAGUCUUCUCAGAGCCCAGACACUGGGGAAUGUUGCAUAACCACUGAAGGGGCAGCUACAACUACUGCUAUUUUGUUUCAAGCCCUCCCCUUCUCUUUCUUAGUCUGGUUUUUGCAACUACUGCUGUUGCCGGAGGAACAAAAAGUAUCAAAAGAGCUACGAGGUAGUUUUGUGACAAAGCCCUCUUGCUAACCUUGGAAUUCCAACUGUCCAAAGCCGGCAGCCACACCUUGUUACCAGGUAGCCUUCUUGUCCCCGCCCAGAUGGUCAGUCCGUAUCUGUGCCUCUGAUCUUGACCUUGAAAAAUCAAGUACGACCUUUUUAUGAAGUCCAUGUUGCAAACAGGAAACUGCUGUCUUGAAAAAGCUAGACCAACAGGAUUCAAAGUUCAAGUCUACCACUUACUAGCUGGGAGACCUUAAGUAAGCUAUUUAGGAUCUGUUUAAAAAAAAAAGAAUAUUGCUACUUAGCUCAUCGUGAGUUGUGGGAAUUAAAUGAUGCAAUCUCUGUGAAAUGCUUGGGACACUGUACGCUCUAAGAUUGGCUUCCUAGGCUGUUGGCUUGCUGGCUUCCUCUAGUUUCGUCCUAGGUUUGGGUAGCUCAUGACUUGAUGUAAUACACUUGGGAAUGGGAAACACUGAGCCACAUGACAAGGAACAACAUAUUCACAAGGAACGCUGGUAUUACAUUUCAAUUUCAUAACACAACUGAAAAAACAAAGCUAGCAAAUUUUUUUUUUUGUUUUUUGGUUUUUUUUUUUUUUUUAAAGACAGUUUCGGUGACAAAAAUACCACCAACUCAACAAAAACCUCUCCAGAACCAACACUUGGCUUUACCAAUCCUGCUGUCCUACGCAUGUUUACCCUAAGAGGGCAAGAUGUUUUAAGGGAUAAAAAAAAAAUCUGUUCAAUAAUUUUGAAAACAUGACAAUGGGCGUGAUAAACCCUAUUAUGUUAAGGAUGAGAAAAGCUUGGUGUCUCUUGGUUCUCCAACUGUGCCUUCUUUUUGGUUCAUAAAGAGAAUGUGUUAUCCUCUACCAGUUUCCUGUUUGCACUCUUGAGGUCAGGGCUGUGCCUGGACAUGCUUGUGAACUGGCUUUGGGCCUGAUGGGCCACUCAGUGGGAAUUGUGGCUUUUGCAUCUCUUCCAAUAAGCUUUGCUCACCAGUCAAGGAAACAGUUGUUCUUGGACUAUGAUCCAUGAGUUUAGGGAUACAGGAACAAUAUGGAUUUGAGUGACAUUUCUGUUGGCCAAUGAAGCUUUCAUCGUUAUUGUGGUAUUAGGUGUUUCAUUGAGCUCCAAGCCACUAUUGAAAUACUCUUGCUUGAAAAAUAUUUUGCUCUAUUAACCAUUGUGGAAUAAUGGCUUUUAAUGUGUUUGAAGUUGAUUAAUGCUCUUAUAGAAAUCUAUAGCGAGGCAUAAGACAAUACAUGGCCAUGCUUUACAGAAAUGUGUUUAUGAACACAUAUGGAAUUACCUCUCCCAGCGAUAGCUAAGAGAACUGACUAUCUUGAUAGAUAUCUCUGUAUCUUCUCUGCUCAAUAUGGUAGCCACUAGCUACAUGUAGAUAUUGUAUGUGUAAGUUAAAUUUUAUUUACUGUAUUUAAAUUUAAACAGCAACCAUGUGGUGAAUGGCUGCCCUACAGGAUAGGGCAAGUUUAAAACAUAAUGAAAAGUCACUUAAACUCUCUGGAUCUCAUUUCGCAAUGUGCUAUGUGUUUGAAUUUGACCAUUGAGUUUCUCAACCUCAGUUGUAUAAUGAAUUCACUCAGGGGUCAUUGGAAAAUGCUGAUACUUAAGCACAUCCUCCCAGUGUUGUUAAUUUGGCAUUGAUAUUUUUAUUAGCUUAUUGACUUGUUUAUUUUGAACGUGGGGAGAUACACACACACACACACACACACACACACACACAUCCCACAGGCUGUGUGUGGAAGACAGAGGCAACUUUUGGGAAUUAAGUCUCUCCUUAUAUCAUGUAGUUCCUGAGGACCAAACUCAAGUUGUCAGACCAGGUGGCAGGAUCUUUUCCCGCUAGGCCAUCUUGCCAACCUGAAAUAGAUAUAUUUUUAGGGCUACAGACAAUAGGACAGUCAAGGUUGGGCACUAGAACUGAACUGAAUUCUCUCUAAGCUUCUAGCUCUGUAUUUCAUUAUAAAAUAUGCUCAAUUUAAAACACAUAGAGUACUUGUUUUUUAAUCCUGUAAUAGAAAAUUACAUAGUGGUUUAAAAAAUGUAGAGGCGUCCCUGAAACACACUUGAAACAAUUAUUUGGAAGCAUUAGACUGGGUUGACUUGAUAUACUCCUCAUAGGAGAUUUUCCGUGUCGUUAUAAAUCACGAGUUUAAGCUAGGAACAAGGAAAAGGCUGUGUGUGUAUACUUGUUUUGGAAUCUGAUUACAGCCUUGUAUCAAAGCUUGGCCAUCUGCCCAAGGACCUGCAUGGGGUGACCUCACUGAGUAACCCAAGCUGUAAGUUUAUGAAGCUCUCAGUGGGAGGUCUUUGGACGACCAGUUUGGAGCAACACACUAUUGCUGAGUUUGUAUCUUCCCUGGGAUUAGAGAAACAAAGUCUUUGGCCAAGGCAUUCUGUCUCAAAGCUACCACAGAAAUGGGUCCAGGGAGAAUUGGGAGAAUUGGAAAGUUUGUUCCUAGAACAUCUAGGGUUUCAGGCAAAUGGGCAUUUCUCUUAGCUCCGAAUGGCACAGUGUUAAGUGAAAUCAUUUUAAUUUUUUUGUUUUUUUUUUAGUCUGACUAAUUAUAAUAUAUAUGUUUGUUUGUUUGUUUGUGGACCUUCACUAAUUACACACCAUUUUCAUUGUCGAACGAAGAACUAUGCAUACAAAAUGUUGAUCAUAAAGGAGGUAUUACAGGUUGUUUUAAUUACCAUCACACAGAGUCUAUAUAUAACUCAAUGUCAUACUUCUUUGAAUAUCUUAUGGGAGAGAUGAUUUCACAAACAAAUAAAUCUCACUAAGAAAAUGCUGUUGUCGUCUGUUCACAAGAAUAGAUGAGAGUCUGUUGUGUGACUUUUACAGGGGAGAUAUAAAGAAGGCAUAAUUUCUAGAAAUAGGGUACUGAAAAAUCAGAGAAGUGAUACCAUCCAGGUCCAACUUAGAAAACCAAUGAAUUUAUUGAUGUUAUUUAUUUAUAGGUGUAUGGGUGACUCAGGCAGCUGCAUCAUUGAAUGAUCUUAUUUAAUCUGGGUAAUGAAACAUUAAGGCUUUACCCAUGAGUCCUAUCCUAUCCCCAUUCAGCUUUUCAAUAUAUAUAUAUAUAUAUAUAUAUAUAUAUAUAUAUAUAUAUAUAUAUAUAUAACUGGUGGCCAGGAGGGAGUGCAGUUAGAUUGGAGUAAGUUUCUGGUGAUGGCCUCUUCCUUUCAUGAUGGUGUCAACAGUCCCAUUAUAGUCACUACAAGCUAGCUCUCCCUGUAUCACUCUGCUUACCUUGUUACCGUAAAUUUAGGUUCUAUGAUGGCCAGUGUCACUGGCCAGAUUCAAAGAGCUCUAUCCCAACAGACCCUACCUCAUACUGGUGCAUAACUCACUUCCAAGAAUGUUACAGUUAUAAAUGUGAAUGGCAGAACUUUUGGACAAAUUCUUGGAUGGAAGGUAUUCUCUAUCUCUUAAGUUAUGGAAAUGAGACAAAAACAGCAGCAGGAUGGUCUUCACAAGACUAAAAAAAAGUUUAUGCAUUAAAAUAGCAAAAGUAAAGAGAAAUAUGGAUGUGGAAUAUAUAUUUCCCAACCAUAGUUUUUUAAAAAAGAAAGAGUUCUUACAAAACAGUAAGAACAAAGAAGAAAAAAAGAAAGCAAAAGAAAAAGAGAAAAGUAAAAAAAUAAAACCCAAACACUGCUAACCAACUCUUCACAGAAGAUACUGAACCUGUCACCAAAAAUGCAAAAAAGGAUGCCCACCUUCUCUAGUAAUCAGGUAAAUAAGAUUUAAAAAUAACACAAUAUCUAAAACCACAAAAGGGUAUCGGAAAGUAUAAAAACCAGUUCAAAGCAUUGACAAGGAAAUGGACAAAAGAAACAAUCGAGCAUUGUUAAUGGGAGGGAAACUGGCAUAGCCCUUUAGAGAGCAACUUGACAAUAUGCAGGAAAGCAGGUGGUGUGCAUAGCCACCUCCCGGCAUGGCUCCUACAUUAGUCUUUGUAUGUGCUUGAAGGUUGAUAUUUCUUCAAGUAGCCGUAGACUUGUUCCUUCUAAAAACAAAAUGUUGAAAAUAUUACUGCAAUUAAUUGGGAAAAUGGUAGGUGAGCUGUGGCUAAUGGUUCGUGAGCUGGGCCCGCUCAUGUCAAUAUAGCUCAUCAUAGUGAUGAAUGAGAAGGGAGGUGAGGUGAUUAGCUUUUCAGUACAAAGUGAGCAUUGUAGAUACUGAGACCACCCUCUCCUGGGCCUUCUCUCUUGAAGAUAAGGCAAGAUGCCCCUGGUUACAUUAGCUUUAUGACAGGAACAUGGACUGGGGUGUACAGAGUUUCAAGUUCAUUUGAAAUGAUUCCUCAAGCACUGUGUCUCCACAAGUGAUCAUUACACAGAGAGUUUAUGUUGUGGUAAUUUGUUACCCCAGUAAGCCCGAAAAAAAAAAAACCACACAACCCAGUUAAUAUAUUUAUAAGCUAUAUGCCUAGAGUGGGCAGAUCUAUCACUAUACUAAUUUACUCCCCAGCUAUGAGAUCCUUUUUGACUUGCAGUUUCUUUAGGCCAUGUGGUUCUACUCCAUCUUCCUUCUACCUCAUCUUCCUCAGUUCUCCUCUCUCUCUUCUUCCUUCUCUGAGACCUUCAGUCCCACCUUUCCCUUCCACUGCCCAAUCAUGGGCUCUAGUCUUUAUUUGACCAGUCAAAAUGGGGAGAAGGUUCAGUGAUAUCACCUGAGUAUGUGAUCCACUCCUUAUGGUGGGCAGCUUCUCUUGAGGAAGUAGAAUUAACAUCAAAAUACAAACAUCACCAGGGCAACCGCAACAAGUUUGGAUGCUUAAAAUGUUUUAUCAAGAAGCAAAAGGCAGUACAUUGACUAGUCCCCACAGAAUAGCUAAUGACACGAUUUUAGAGAUUAAGGACAGGAAACUAUAUAAAGUCCCAACUUGAGGGACUUUAUAAACUUUACUAAACAAUAUAACAUAGUUAUUGAGUUUUCAUGGCUUGUGGGUAUGAGUCUCAGGCCCAGACUCAGCUGCACAGGAAACUGUAAUAAAGAUUCACAUCUUUUCUAAGUCCCUUUCUGGCCCCAGUCCAUGGUGAGGAAGAACAAGGAAGCUUGUUUUGGGUGCUGAGAGUCCUGGAAAUCCCAUCUGACUCUACUCUCUUAGCUGACCUGAUGUUGUUGACCCCUUCCAAUGUGCCUUUCCACCUGGAUGGCUCUCUACACUCUUCCCCUGCUGUCCUAUAGAUCAGAAAUCCUUCUGGCUAGUGUAGGCCUGUACUAGCCAGGCAGAGGUAGGGCAGGAAGCAUUAGUAGCUAUUUCAAAAGCAUUGCUCUCUCAUAAACUUCUCUUCCCUAUGCAGCUUCAAUCUAUACAGGAAAUGAGCAUGGAGGAUUUGUGGGGUGAGGAGUUUGGGGAGAUAUAGCUGCUUAGGUAAAUCUGGCCAGAAUUAUAGCUAUCUGACUAAUCAUUAUUAAAGCACUUCCUUUAUUUUUGAGAUGGACAGAGUCUUACUAUGUAGCUCUGCCUGGCCUGGAACUCACUAUGUAGACCAGCCUAACCUCCAACACACAGGGAUCUGCCGAGCUCUGUUUCAGAAUAAUGGGAUCGAAGGUGUGUGAAUCACUGUGCCAAGCCAUAGCAGCAAAGUCAAAGCCAAAGCCAAACCAAACAAACAACAAACAAACAAAACCUCCACUUACUUUAAAAAGAAAGAGCCAUCUUCUUGAGAGAACAAGACCGGAAGAUGGAAAUUCAAGGUCUGUCUGGGCCAAUCUAGAUAACUUAAAGAGAUCAAGUCUGAAAAUAAAAAAUAUGAGGGCUGGGGAUAUAAGCACAAUUGCCUAGCAUGUGUGAGGUCCUGUGUUCACUUCUCAGUAGAGGGAAGGGAGUAGGAAAGGAAGGAGGGAAGAUGGGAAGAAAGGAAGAAAGGAAGGAGGUAAGAAAGGAAGAAGGGAAGAAGCGAGACAGGGAAGUAGAUUGAUUUAAAAAAAAAAGUAGUUCAAGGGUUGGCAGGGUGGUUCAGUGGGUAAAGGAAGGUAAAGUAGUUGCCACCAAGCAUGAUGAUCUGAGUUUGAUCCCAGGAUCUACAUGGUGGGAAGAGAGAAUGGACUCUUGAGAGUUCCAUGUCACACGCACAUACCUUUCAGCUGUGUGAACACAUACUUGCUCACACACACAACAGAUAUAAGUAAAUGUAAAUUCUAAAACAUAAAUUUUCAAACAUUUUGUUGCUGUCAAGGCAACAUAUGCAAACUAAAUAAUAAAUGCUUUGGGAAGUAGAUACAGAAAGAGUUUUCAGGGUUAUACUUCCAACUAUUGAGCUUUCAAAAUUGAAUCCAGGACCUCCUACACACUAGACAAGUGUUCUGCUACUGAGCUGUAUCUCUGGCCCUCUUUUUACUUUAAGAAUGAAUAGCAUUAAGUUGUCUUUUUUUUAGAAGUCCCUGUUUAGUCAGAGGUAAGAGGUGGCAUCUCUACACAGACCUACACAAGGUUUAAUGGUGUCUGAAGCCUAGAGAGUUCUGUUUCUUACUAGAUCUCAACUUGGCUAUUCCUAACUCAAAGGGCAGAACCAAGUUUGCUUUGAAAAGUCUGGGAUCUAUUCAGGGGACCAUGGGUACUGCUGAUCCAACCUAAGUCCUGAUAUCUUCAAAUUUUACGAAAUUUAGUUUUGUUUUUCAAGACAGGGUUUUUCUAUGUGGCCCUGGCUGUCCUAGAAUUUGCUUUGUAGACCAGACUGGCCUUGAACUCAGAGAUCCACUUACCUUUGCCUCCUGAAUGCUGGGACUAAAGGUGUGUACCAUCGCACCCAGUUUGAGAUUAAUGUUUUAAGAUUCAAUCAAAGAGGGGUCUUUGAAGAACAAAUGCCUGGUGUUGGGGUAGCAGUGACUGAAACACAUUCCCAAUUAGUCAAUGAUUCUGCAGCUAUUGUCUCCAGAUCAGCAGCUCUUGGGAAACUGAUGACAUUAAAAUUCUUCAGCUCCUUCUGCUUCUGUUGAAAAGGAUGCUGUGUUUGAUUGUGGUCCGAAGCUUUGAAGCACUACUUGGCAUCUCCUUCCUUGGAGGUCUCACUGUUUAAACAUAACAGAUUUGAUAGCUUGUUGGUAAGGUGAGGUCCAGCUUGUCUCCACUAGGUCAUCUUCAUGUGAAUCCGGUGGUUAUACGGUUUUGUUCUAGGGAUAUUUCAUUUUUUUAAUAACGGUUUUAGCUGACAUUCAUGGAGAGAAUAAAUCCUUAGAACUGUGCCACUAGUGAAAGGAAAUCCUGUCUAGAUUAUGUUUCUUUAAAAAGCUGUGUCACACCAUCCUUUGGGCCCUCUGCUGGAAAAGUAGAAUCAAGUCUCAAAUAAUGCCUUUUAAAUUGUAUCCUCUAGUAUUAUAGAUGUAGGACAGUACUGUAUCAUACCUCUGUGGAUGUAAAAUAGCUUUUACCUGCUUUAUGAUACGUAGUAGGGACCGUGCUUUAUCAGAGCUGUUUUUAAUGAUGUUGCUCAGAAUGUUUUCUUUCCAGAUGAUGAUUGAGAAGCUAAUUUAAAAAAAAAUGGUGCCAGGUUAAAAAAAAAUGUGAUGGCACUCCAUUUAAAAAUUCAUGAAAUAUAGGAUAAUCACUCUGAAAUUUUGUCUUUUCUGAACAAAUGUUUUUUGUUAUAGGAAGAAUUGUAGAUAGAAGCAUAAAUGUAAUAUGUGUGAUAUAUGUUUUUGUUAUAUUUAAACAUAUAUAUAUAUAUAUGUAUUCCAGUAAAGGUUUAUAUGCAAAAAAAAAGAAGGUAUAUUGAUAGAAUUUUGUGAUUUAAAAAUACAUUGGAGUUUGUACUUCAUGUAAGCCAAGGAUUGUUGUUCCAUCCAUGUUAAUCCAUGGUCUUAAAUAUUGUUUUACAGUAAUUUAAAAUAAUAUUUAAAAUAAAUAUUUGGUAUUUAAAAAAAAAAAAGGAAGCCAAA
Molecule: long non-coding RNA, 35934 nt
Organism: Rattus norvegicus (Norway rat)
Lineage: Eukaryota; Metazoa; Chordata; Mammalia; Rodentia; Muridae
Source: RefSeq, a predicted model, not a curated record